This 253-nucleotide ribosomal RNA is filed under the name uncultured bacterium. Its description in RNAcentral is "partial 16S ribosomal RNA". It matches the Rfam family "Bacterial small subunit ribosomal RNA", at positions 524 to 776 of the family's 1533-position model. The record is from RNAcentral.
UACGGAGGGAGCUAGCGUUGUUCGGAAUUACUGGGCGUAAAGCGCGCGUAGGCGGCUUUGUAAGUUAGAGGUGAAAGCCCGGGGCUCAACCCCGGAACUGCUUUUAAGACUGCAUCGCUUGAAUCCAGGAGAGGUGAGUGGAAUUCCGAGUGUAGAGGUGAAAUUCGUAGAUAUUCGGAAGAACACCAGUGGCGAAGGCGGCUCACUGGACUGGUAUUGACGCUGAUGUGCGAAAGCGUGGGGAGCAAACAGG